AUGAAGAGGGGGAGGCAGGAGGACCGGCUGAGCGCUCUCCCGGACAAGGCGCUCCAGCUCGUGCUCUCCCACCUCCCGUCCGACGAGGCCGUGCGCACCAGCGCGCUCUCUCGCCGUUGGCGCGGCGUCUACGCGGCCGUCCCCGUCGUCGACCUCACGGACCCCAAGAAAGGCACGCUGGACCGCUGGUCCGGCGGCAAGAACCGCCCGGUCUGCUUCGACCAGAUGGUGACGGGCGCGAUCCUCUGCAAGCCCCCCGGGACGCCCAUCCGCACCCUCCGCCUCGACGCCAUGUUCCCGCCACAAGACCUGCUCGACCAGUGGAUCGUCUCCGCCGUCUACUCCGGGAUCGAGGAGAUCGACGUCAAGCUCAGGUACUGGCACGACCCCGGACGCCGGCUCUGCCCCUUUGGCUCGUCGGAGAAGGCCUCGGCGGACUUCGAGGUCCACCAGCGGAACAGAAACAUCAAGACGCAGCCCCAUUUCUUCGGGUGCAGCACGCUCCGGCGCCUGCGGCUCACCAACUGGACGCUCGACCUGACGCAGGGGGUGGUCGUCUCGUCGCUGGAGACGCUCUACCUCGCCAGGAUCAUGGACCCCAAAGGGCAACUGCAGCUGCUGCUCUCAAGUUGCCCGCGCCUCGCCGACCUGACGCUGCAAGAGCUCCCGAGCGUCACUGAGAUCUCAGUGAAGAGCGCACACUUGCGGAGGUUCACCAUGAUCUGCUGCCACCAUGCCAGCCACGUCAAGCUGCACAGCUCGCGCCUGAAAUCACUGCACUACAAAGGCGGCAUUCCCCUCGAGUCGCUCUUCGAUGUUGCAAACUACAAAGGAAUCAUGGCGCUGACGAUAGAAAUCUGUGAAGACCUCUCCAAAAGGAAAUCAGCUGAGGUUGCUCCGGUCACAGGACUCAUCAGCCAGUGCACCGAGCUGGCGCAUCUCCACCUUUCCUUACGCCCAUCAAUGGCUUACCACAGCAGCGUGUUCGCAGAUGCCGUACGGGGGCUACCUCUCAGGCAGCUGGGCCUCAAAGGCUGCCUGCGCGAGGGCCAUGCCGUCCGGUCUGUCGCCGUCUUGCUUCGUGAAACCAAGAACCUGGAAGUAUUGUCGCUGUUACCUCUGGGUCGGCCCAAAAAGAAGGAGUCCUGGAUGUCUGAUGGCGAAUCAGAUACUGAGACUGAAGACGACGGUGACGAUGAGGUUGACCGUAGUAGCCGUGUGACCAAUAGUUUGUGGCAGAUGUACGUCAGAUGCUUGGGCCAUAAGCUGAAAAGAAUCAGCAUUGUAAAUUAUAAAGGACUACAACUCGAAAGAAUACUUGCACAUUUUCUGCUUGACAGGGGUAAGACUUUGGAGGAAUUCUCGGUUACCUCACCAGUUGAAAGUUCCCAACGAAAGGACCAGAUGGCGUGGCUGCUAAGAUCCUGGAGACACAACCGCCAUACCAGAGUAACCGUACAUUGA
This 1464-nucleotide ribosomal RNA is filed under the name Triticum aestivum (bread wheat). Its description in RNAcentral is "partial small subunit ribosomal RNA". Lineage: Eukaryota; Viridiplantae; Streptophyta; Magnoliopsida; Poales; Poaceae. The record is from RNAcentral.